Molecule: long non-coding RNA, 1156 nt
Filed under: Citrus sinensis (sweet orange)
Lineage: Eukaryota; Viridiplantae; Streptophyta; Magnoliopsida; Sapindales; Rutaceae
Description: long non-coding RNA (CSIN_LNC000307)
Source: RNAcentral
AGGGGUGCCACAUAAAAACUCGUAAUUAAGUCAGCUAGUUUACACACAAAGCUACUCGGAGUCUCGGAUAGUUGUGAUAUAUACUUGUCUGUACCAAACAGACUCGAUAUGUAUUUAAUCGAAGACAAGAGACAUGGAUUGAAUUCACAUGACGAUGAAUCCAUAUUGGAUUACAAUAAGGUAGAAACUCACUGUUUCUCUCAUUUAUUCAUAUCAGCCAGCUAUAUAUAUGUAGAUAUAGGUCUCAGAAACACUUGGAACGGUAUGCGUAUUACAUCAACAUAUAGAGACCCAACUGUGAACUGCGUUUUCAUUAGCAGCGGCAGGGGCAGCAUUUGCCUAGUGGCAGUGGCGGACUCAUAAACUAAAAUGAGGGGGGUCUUAGCUCAAAAAAAAUUUAUUUAACUUAGAUUUUUUUAAUGUUCACUUGAAUACAUAUUAAGUAUUAUAAACUCAAAUUUUAUUACUUUUUUAAAUUUUAAAUAAUAAUAGUAAUAAAUUAUUAUUUUUAAAUGCGUAAAAAUAUCAUUUUUCGAAGUAGUAUUUUAAAUACAUGAAAAUAUCAUUUUUCGAAGUAGUUUCCACAAAAUAUUUAAAAAAAUAAAAUAAUAUGGCUAAUGGGAUUUGAACUAAGGUUUUGAAACUAUUAAAUAACACUCUUACCAUUGAACUACAAGCCUUUAAAUAUAUAAAAAAAUGUGUCCAAGCUUUUUUAUCCAACUUUUUCAGAAGGGACUUGGGAUACAUUUAAAAGAAAACUUAAUGGCCCAGGAGGGCUGAAGCUCCUCCUAGGUCUUAAUUGGGUCCGCCCAUGCCUGGUGGUGCUGGCGCGCAACACACGCAUUGUGGACAGAACCUUAUUGGUGUUGAAGGCCGUAUUGGUGCUCGAGGAGGCACCUUAAACUGAUGAGGACCUGAUCAAUAAAUGACAAUAAUUUUAUUUGAAAACAGCUUCUAAAGAACAUCCCAAGAAAAGAUAAAAGAGUCAGAAAUACACCAGUAGAUGGACCAGCUUCGAGAGGUAAUAUUGAUGAAAAUACCAUGGCAAAGAUGAAGAGGGUCAGCAGCACAGAGCUUGAAAUUUUGCCUGCCAUUUCGUUUAGGCUGUGAGAAGAACUAUAACUGUUUUUGCUCAGAUGGUCAAUGCAAAGGAGAC